AUGUCAACUGUAGAGCCUCAAGAGGUGCUGAAUGAUUCAUACUGUAAAGUGUUGUUCAUGGCUUUGUCCCAGGCCUGUAGGAUGGACGGUGAAGAAAACUCAUCUUCCUGGACAUUGAUCAUGAAAAAGAUUGUAUUACAGAGGUUAAAGUUCAGCGUGUCAAUGUUAGAAAAUAAACCACAUGUUGUGUACCGUUUCAGAUUUUAUUUCAACAGUCAACAUACAUCUACUGCUUAUCAGCUUCAUCCAAAUGUCCACAUUGUCUGUUGUAAAACGAGCUACAUUCUGACACAGCAACAACAACCCCAUAACACACCUACCAUCUCUCACACACGUCCACACACUGUGGGAGCUGAACAGCCGCAUGUCUCAGGUCAGGGUUCAGGUCUGGGUCAGGACCACUGGUCUCAGGUCAGGACCACUGAUCUCAGGUCAGGGUUCAGGCCAGGGAUGGGACCACUGACCUCACGACAAGGUUCAGGUCUGGGAUGGGACCACUGGUCUCAGGUCAGGGUUCAGGUCUGGGUCAGGACCACUGGUCUCAGGUCAGGACCACUGAUCUCAGGUCAGGGUUCAGGCCUGGGUCAGGACCACUGGUCUCAGGUCAGGACCACUGAUCUCAGGUCAGGGUUCAGGCCAGGGAUGGGACCACUGACCUCACGACAAGGUUCAGGUCUGGGAUGGGACCACUGGUCUCAGGUCAGGGUUCAGGUCUGGGUCAGGACCACUGGUCUCAGGUCAGGGAUGGGACCUCUGACCUCAGGACAAGGUUCAGGUCUGGGAUGGGACCACUGGUCUCAGGUCAGGGUUCAGGUCUGGGUCAGGACCACUGGUCUCAGGCCAGGGAUGGGACCACUGACCUCAGGUCAGGGUUCAGGUCAGGGAUGGGACCACUGGUCUCAGGACAGGGUUCAGGUCAGAACUUAUUCAAAGCCUUUACCACAGGUAUCAGUCAUUACAUCAUUAUAUCAUUCCUUUACCACAGGUAUCAGUCAUUAUAUCAUUCCUUUACCACAGGUAUCAGUCAUUAUAUCAUUCCUUUACCACAGGUAUCAGUCAUUAUAUCAUUCCUUUACCACAGGUAUCAGUCAUUAUAUCAUUACAUCAUUCCUUUACCACAGGUAUCAGACAAAACCCACAACCACACCGUUCGUUAAUAAUAUAUCAUAUAGCGCUUUAAUCCAAAGUGAUUUACAGUCAUGCGUGCGUACAUUUUACGUCUGGGCUGCCCCGGGAAUCGAACCUACAACCCUGGGGUACAAGCACCAUGCUCUACCAACUGAGCUGUUCGGGAACUGUUCGGGAGCUGUUCGGGAGCUGUUCGGGAGCUGUUCGGGAGCUGUUCGGGAACUGUUCGGGAGCUGUUCGGGAACUGUUCGGGAACUGUUCGGUAGCUGUUCGGGAACUGUUCGGUAGCUGUUCGGGAACUGUUCGGGAGCUGUUCGGGAACUGUUCGGUAGCUGUUCGGGAACUGUUCGGGAGCUGUUCGGGAACUGUUCGGGAACUGUUCAAAUAAGACCUGAGAUUUGAAUUGUCAAUCAGAAGAAGACAGAGGAACAGGAGAAGCCUCUAAUUUGGAUGUGUGAGGUAUUGGAUGAUUUGACACAGGGCUAUCAAGGAUCUCUGAUCGCGUUCUUCAUAACGCUUCAUAAAGACUUCUUAAGGCUUCAUAAAGACUUCAUAAGGCUUCAUAGAGGCUUCAUAAGGCUUCAUAGAGACUUCUUAAGGCUUCAUAAAGACUUCACAAGGCUUCAUAAAGACUUCUUAAGGCUUCAUAAAGACUUCACAAGGCUUCAUAGAGGCUUCAUAAGGCUUCAUAAAGACUUCUUAAGGCUUCAUAAAGACUUCACAAGGCUUCAUAAAGACUCCUUAAGGCUUCAUAAAGACUCCUUAAGGCUUCAUAAAGACUCCUUAAGGCUUCAUAAAUACUUCUUAAGGCUUCAUAAAGACUCCUUAAGGCUUCAUAAAGACUCCUUAAGGCUUCAUAAAGACUAUAAAGACUUCUUAAGGCUUCAUAAAGACUCCUUAAGGCUUCAUAGAGACUCCUUAAGGCUUCAUAAAGACUUCUUAAGGCUUCAUAAAGACUUCAUAAGGCUUCAUAGAGACUUCAUAAGGCUUCAUAAAGACUUUAUAAGGCUUCAUAAAAGCUCCAUGAAUCCAACGUCAGGCAGACAUCUACUGCUCCUUGACGACGAUCAUCAACAUUCAGAAAUAAAUGAAAACGAUGAACACUCAUCCAAACAAAAGACUCAGUUUGUCUCAGUCCUCUCAGAGUUCACCUCAUCAUCACAUUCAUCAUCGUCACACAGCUGCUUUCUGCUUCCAGGUCAAAGUUCAACUACAUUAAUGCCAACUGUCGCGACACAAGUACACAUAGAGCCGCUUAAAUCAACUCAAGGUUCAAGUCCCUAGUGGGAUAAUAAGAUGGGUCCAUAACAAGUCUUUCCCCUCAACAUGGGUCUGAUCUGAGGAGGUUAUACUCCCUAGAACGGACGUCUCCAUUCAAAUCAAUGAUUCCGUAAGGGGCGGACUGGA
Oncorhynchus mykiss (rainbow trout) is the source of this 2535-nucleotide long non-coding RNA. NCBI's taxonomy places the organism in Eukaryota, Metazoa, Chordata, Actinopteri, Salmoniformes, Salmonidae. The record is from Ensembl.